UCUUCUAGUUUUCUGGUUUCUAUGGACCGAAAGAAAUGAUGCAAAGCAUAAGGGUGUUCGCAUGAGAUCAAGACGAAUCAUAAGGAGGGUAUACCUUAUGAUCUCACUCCUUCACAUUGGAGGAUUAUUUCGAUCACUAAAUUAGCACUAUGACAUACAUAUUGCUCCACUUUUUGGGAUUACUAUGACCCUCCCUUCAUCUCCUCUCCCUAUUAUGGUUUGGU
This 224-nucleotide long non-coding RNA is filed under the name Olea europaea (common olive). RNAcentral's name for it is "long non-coding RNA (OEUR_LNC014101)". Lineage: Eukaryota; Viridiplantae; Streptophyta; Magnoliopsida; Lamiales; Oleaceae. The record is from RNAcentral.